CUAAGUGAUACCAACAAAUGCUUCUUCAUAUGCAGAUAAAGAAGAAUUCACAGAUUAAGGCGGAAGCCAAGGCUCAUCACUAAACCAACUCUUCUCAAUAAGAAUGUGAAGCCAAGUGAUUGUUGCCUCUAAAUGUAGCUGUUUCAUCCUUAAAUCUAUAUCUCCCUCGGCGACGUUUUGUCGAUUUUUGUGUUUUUGAUGAAUCAAAAUCUUUUGUCUGACAAAGCAAUCGUAUACCAUUUUGGUUUAAACCUGAGCUCCUCUUUGGUACUUUGCUAUUCAAUAAACACCAUCUUUUUAUAAACCAGAUUGAUGAUAAAAUAUAUAUUUUUUCCACUGAAGAAAAAAAAAAAAAAAAAAUCUGCCGUGACAUAGCGUUAAAGUAAGCAAUUUGCUAUCCAGGGCGACCAAUGUAGUCAUUGCUUUGUGGCAAGAACACGGUGUGUUCGACCUGCAAGGUCGUGGCUUCGAACAUUGGACACACACACAUCCUCUGUCUCUCACUCUCUCUGCUUCUAACAAAGUGAGAUUUCUCACAUAAUAGAGGCAUUCCUAAAUGCCUUUUUUUUUUCUUCUAUUUCAUUCUCUACAAUUUAUAAGUUAUAUGAACUUAAUAAUAUAGAAACCUAAAUGUUUGCACCCAAAAAACAAAAUGAAUUGAAUCAGUCAUUAUGUUUAGAAGACUAAUUAAAGGGGUAUAAGAGGAGUAUCUUCUUUGUAAAAUCAAUUUAUAAGUUAUAUGAACUUAAUAAUAUAGAAACCUAAAUGUUUGCACCCAAAAAACAAAAUGAAUUGAAUCAGUCAUUAUGUUUAGAAGACUAAUUAAGGGUAUAAGAGGAGUAUCUUCUUUGUAAAAUCUAUUUUGGAUAAUAAUAAAAAAAAAAAUCUAUUUUGGAUAUAUGGCGUUCUAUUUAUCAUUUAUAUUCCAAUUUUGAAACUUUAAGCUCGCUCUCCAUAUAAUAUUCACAACUAUGAGUCUAUGACCAUGAACACUACACUAAAUCACUAAUACUAUUACUAUACUAUAAAGCUAUAAUAUUCAUCAACACCAUAGACUUUUAAUGGGAGUCAUGGGGCACGUAGUUAUCGAUUAAUUUCAUUGUUGGUGCUUUCUUCAUUGGACGGAUGAUAACUUAAAGAAUAAACUUGUAUGCUUUUUCAACAUUUUAAAAUAAAUAUCAUUUCAAGUGUUUUUGUGGUCCAUUGGCAAUCAUCAACUUGGACGUGUAGUAAGUCCCUUAUAUAUAACUAAUAUAAGUUUUGGAUUUUUUUUUUUUGUCAACCUAUAAGUUUUGGAUUUAAAUUACUAAAAUGGUAAAGAAAUAUAAUAUUUACUAUUAAUAGAAAACAAAAUAUAUAUAUUUUUAUACAAUGAGGAUAUCAUAUAAGUCUUAAUCCUGAGUUAAAUCCUCAAUUCCUAUGUUUUUUUUGUCAUAACUUGAACAAAACAUAAUUUUUUCAAAAAAAAAAAACUUGAACAAAACAUAUCCUUUCGACCGAAAAAAGGAACAUAAACAAAUUCUUAGGAUUGAAGUUUUUCAUAUCAAUUAUAACAUAACUUAUGGCAUCUUUUAAUUAUGUUUGUUGAGAUCAAUCACAUAAUUUUAGUGAAUCAUAUUUGUCGUGCUAUUAUCCUAUCCUUAUGCAAAUUUGGUAUCCUUUUUUUUUUGUUAUUUACGUAAUUAUAUUUUUCGCUUGAUAAGCUUUUCAUUUUAUUUCGCAUUUAUGAAAUAGUUCAUUGUUUUGUCUUCAAUAAGUAAACAGUAUAAUAAUUUAACGUAUUCUUAAUUUCAAAUUCAAAGCAACGCGACCUACCCUCAGGUCUCAAAACGCACGUUCACCAAUAUAAAGUGGCACUUUCGUAAAUAACAUUAAGAAAAACAAAUUAAAACAGUUUUGUAAUAAGAUCAAUAAUACAUUAUUCGAUGACUCAGAUUAGCCAUUUAGGCUUUGGUCUUAUUUCUUUUUUUUUUGUUGCCAACAAUUAAGCUCAGGCUUACGAAAGUGAUUGUCUGAUUGACGUUUCCUUUCUUUCUUUUUUUGGUCCCUGAUAACACCUUUGAGUUUGAGACUUUGAGGUAUAUCUAUUAUGUCUUCAUUUGAAUCUUUUUUUUUUUUAGUGAUUACCAAUGUAAUAAAAGUCUGGUUUGUUUUUUUUUUUAACUUUUCCCGUUAUUCGAUAACAGUUUAUAAAGUUUUAUCGUGUUUUUUUAACAAACUUCUCAGCUCAAGAACUCGAAAGAGUAAAGUAGGAGAGAGAGUGAUUAAGAGAGAUAAACCAAUUUUCUCAUUAAUUCUGUAAAGUAUAAAAAUGUUGGUUUAUAUACUUCUAACAACUGCUAACAUAAGCCUAUUUACAUUAUAUGCUAACAUAAGCCUAUAGUAUACUCAGCUAACAUACAUUGCAGUGGGGAAUUUUCCGCAAUGGGCGAAAGCCUAGUUCAUACCAUCCAUCCAUAGUGUUUUGAUCUAAGAUUUCAAUUCUUCCAUGGCAUAUUGUUCCAUGGAGGAGAGUGAAAAUACUCAUGAUACACCCCCGCAAGCCUUUGAAUCCGAAUAUGGUGAAGGAGAAUAAAGGCUUGACAUAGACAUGCGACUGAGUAAAGAGUUAAAUGGACCUGGAUGCAGCAGUUUAGUGAGAAUAUCUGCUAGCUGGUUAUCUGUUGAAACAUGAAGAGCUCUUAUCGUUCCCAACUUGAUUUGGUCUCUAAUAGUAUGUCAGUCUAUCUCUAUGUGUUUCGUGCGCUCGUGAAACACAGGAUUCGUUGCAAUGUAGAUAGCUGACUUGUUAUCACAGAAUAGCUUGGUAGUACUUGUAACUUUGACUCGAAAAUCUACAAGUAGUUGAUAUAACCACAAAAUCUCCCUUGUAACAUCAGCCAAGCUUCUAUAUUCAGCUUCAGUACUACUUCGACUAACCACCUGUUGCUUCUUGGACUUCCAACAUAUCAAUGAAGUACCAAGAUAUACACAAUACCCAGAGACUGAGCGUCUUGUGUCAAGACAAGUACCCCAAUCCGCAUCAGCAAAUGCAUUUAAACAUAAGUCAGUUUCAACACUCUGAGAGCAGCUUGCAUGUGUGUAUCCGUAGGAAAUUGAAUAAACUGACUCAACUUAUGCACUGCAUAAGUGAUAUCUGGUCGUGUUAUUCACUUUUCUUUUCUUGCAACAUGAAAUAAUUAAUUACAAAAUAUCCAUCACCACAAAUACAAAGCAUUGAAGUGUGACGGUGUUGUUUAAACACUUUGAAGUUUGGACACAGACCAUUAUCACACAAGUGGACCUUUUUUAUAUAUUUAUUUCGGAUCCACUUGUUAGACAAAAUAAAAUUUACACUGAUUACAAAAUAACAAUUUUUUUGUUAACCUUUUCACAGCAUGAAAAAAAAAACAUUUAUGUAAUUAGUACUUUUGGAUCGUUUGUUUUCAUGCUUUCUCUACAGAUUUGAGUUUUUUUUUUUUUUUUUUUUUUUUUUUUUUUUUUUUUAAAUAGAGAAGGUCAUGCGUUUACAACUAUUUUUAACUUUAAAUUUUAAAUUAGUAGCAACUUUAACAAAUUGUUAGCAGUUCUAAUUGCAUAGAUUCUAUUUGAAGACUACAAACUUUUUAAAAAGAGGUCAUAGUCAAAACAAAAAACACCACAUUUGGUAUUAGCCAGAUAUUAGCCCAAUUAACAUUUUAGUAGAUUUAAUACUAUUUGUUUUAUCGUUCUCUUUUUUUUUUAUAAAUAAAAUCCAUGUAAGAAAAUCGGUAGAUUCAAAGCAUUUCAUGUAAUUUUUGUUUUUUGUCAAACGCAUCUCAUGUAAUUAAGUACUCAUCUUAAGCAAAUUUUCAACAUGAAAAAAUUGAACGUUUAACAAUAUAAUGAGUAGUUGGAACUUGAAUUGGAAACUCAACAACUCAAAUUCCAAGAAUUGCUUGGAUAAGUAAAAAUCUGGCAAGAAACGUAUUCUAUUUUUGUAACGUAGAAAAUUAGAAAAAAAUAUAUUUUGUCAACAAACAAAAUUAGAAAAAUAAUAAAAGCAAAAAACCGUGGUUAAGUUUGGUUAAGUUAAUCUAAACCAGAGUGGUUAAAAGCAAAACGACAAAGCAAUUUGGCUUCUUAAAAACCCGCCCAUGGAGAAGAAAGCCCUCACGCACCUCUAAACCACAAAGAGAGAAGAGAGAAGAGAGAAUCAUUGAAACGAAACAAUGGCCGUCUCAUCAUUCCAGUGCCCUACGAUCUUCUCCUCAUCCUCAAUCUCCGGCUUUCAAUGCCGUUCUGAUCCAGAUCUCGUCGGUUCUCCCGUCGGUGGAUCAUCUCGCCGCCGUGUCAAUGCCACCGCCGGGAUUUCUUCCUCAUUCACCGGAGACGGUGGAUUAUCCUCCAGGAUCUUGAGAUUUCCUCCUAAUUUCGUCCGUCAGCUGAGUAUUAAAGCCCGUAGAAACUGUAGCAACAUCGGUGUUGCACAGAUCGUGGCUGCUAAGUGGUCCAACAACCCUUCCUCCGGGUUACCUUCGGCGGCGGCGGCGGCUGCUGCCUCGUCUGCAUCUGCGGUUUCUUCCGCCGCAUCUGCAGCCACAGCCUCGUCCGCCGCCGCCGCCCCUGAGGCUGCCGCUCCUCCCGUCGUCGUGCUGAAAAGCGUCGAUGAGGAGGUUGUGGUGGCCAAGGAGGGGAUUAGGGAGAAGAUAGGUAGUGUACAGUUGACGGAUUCCAAACAUUCAUUCUUGAGCUCCGAUGGGAGCCUUACUGUUCAUGCCGGUACCUCCUAGAUCCAUUUUCAAUCAUUUCUCCUUGUUUCCUUUUUUCAUAUCUGAAUUUGUUGUUGGAGAUUGAUAAAUUGGGUUUUGAUGAUGAUAUAUACACAGGUGAAAGAUUAGGUCGUGGUAUAGUGACGGAUGCUAUCACUACUCCUGUAGUGAACACAUCUGCCUAUUUCUUCAAGAAAACUGCUGAGCUUAUUGACUUCAAGGUUCGUUGAUUCAGUCUCUAUCUUUUCAUGGAUUAGAAUAACACUAAGAUUGAAUGAAUCUGUUGAAUUAUUGUAGGAGAAAAGGAGUGUGAGUUUCGAGUAUGGUCGUUAUGGUAACCCUACGACUGUGGUACUUGAAGAGAAGAUAAGGUUAUUAUAUUAUCUUAAUAUAAUUACACUUGCCUUUCCUGGAAGAUUAUGUUGUUGAUGCUGUUUGAUUAAUAUAUUAAAUUAUUGUGUAGUGCACUUGAAGGGGCUGAAUCAACUUUGGUUAUGGCAUCUGGGAUGUGUGCAAGCACUGUUAUGCUUUUGGCAUUGGUUCCUGCCGGUGGACACAUUGUGACAACUACUGAUUGCUACAGGAAGACAAGGAUCUUCAUGGAGAAUUUUCUUCCUAAGUUGGGGAUCACUGUAAGAAGAACCCUCUGACACCGAGAUUUUUAAUUACAGUCUUCCUUUUUCCAAUUCCAGUUUUUCAACUUGAAUGGUUAACGUCAUGUUUGUCCAGGUCACUGUGAUUGAUCCUGCUGAUAUCGCAGGGCUUGAAGCUGCAGUGAAUGAGUUCAAGGUCAGUUCUCUAACAUAUUGUGGAUUAAUUUUCCUUUUUACACUUGGAAAGAGAGUAUGUUUCUCAAAUUUAUUUCCUCUUGUCUGGCAGGUUUCUCUGUUUUUCACGGAGUCCCCGACAAACCCAUUCCUUAGAUGUGUCGACAUUGAGCUAGUAUCAGAAAUAUGCCACAAAAGGGGAACUCUUGUUUGCAUUGAUGGCACCUUUGCAACACCUCUGAAUCAGAAAGCCCUUGCUCUUGGUGCUGACCUUGUCGUGCACUCUGCUACAAAGUACAUUGGAGGACACAAUGAUGUGAGUAAAAUAUGUUCCAUAUAUUGUAAAGCAUCUCAAAAGAGCACUCACUGGUUGUAUAGCUAUUGACAAAGAUUGUUUCUCAUUGGCUUAGGUUCUUGCUGGAUGCAUCUGUGGUUCACUGAAGUUGGUUUCAGAAAUUCGCAAUCUGCAUCAUGUGUUGGGAGGCACACUUAACCCAGUAAAUUACUUGACCGUCUCAUUUAUCUCCCUUAUGAUACCGUUAUUUCAUGAAUUCUCAUAAAAGGUUUGUUAACAGAAUGCUGCGUACCUAAUCAUCCGAGGCAUGAAGACAUUGCAUCUUCGUGUACAGCAACAGAAUUCGACCGCUUUUAGAAUGGCCGAAAUUUUAGAGGCACAUCCUAAGGUAUGCAAUAUCUCUUGUGUGUACUUUUUUGAGUAAAGUUCCUGACACGACCUUGUAAAUAUCGAUGCAACUUGAUAUGCAGGUGAGUCAUGUGUACUAUCCAGGCCUUGCAAGUCAUCCCGAACAUGAACUCGCCAAGCGACAAAUGACUGGUUUUGGAGGUGUGGUCAGUUUCGAGGUAAUGAUCAAUCACCAACCUAAUCUUUAUCUACUCCAGAUUUAGCAUCUGAUUAAUAGUAAGAUGAUCCUGAAAACUGUGAUUAUCUUUCUUGGAUAGAUUGAUGGAGACAUUGAAACAACAAUCAAGUUUGUGGAUUCUCUCAAGAUUCCUUACAUUGCACCAUCUUUCGGUGGCUGCGAAAGCAUUGUUGACCAACCUGCGAUCAUGUCCUACUGGUAUGUAUAUGCUUGACAAAAUCGAACAAAAUUCCGAUUUGUGGUUUUAACUAAAUAAUAAUUUGGGUGGUUUUGAUAAUAGGGAUCUGCCGCAAGAGGAGAGGCUAAAGUAUGGAAUCAAAGAUAACUUGGUUCGUUUCAGUUUUGGAGUAGAAGACUUUGAAGAUGUCAAAGCUGACAUUCUUCAAGCUCUCGAAGCCAUCUGAAAAUGAUAUACAUCACCCACAAACGCCGUCGUUUCUGUGUCUUUUAUUUAUCUCUCUUUGCUGUUUUCAGUCACCGUAAUAAUGAUGUCUUUGAACUAUUUGUUCCGCGACAUUUACGUUCCGAAAUAAUCGUGUACUAUUAUUAUUGUUUGUUGUGCUAUAGUAAAAUUCUAUUUAGUCCGUUUUAUGCCUUAAAGUGGUUAAAUUGGAUAAUAGGCCCCAUGAGAACGACCAGUGUGGCCAUGGCUUUGUGGUAAGAACACCUUGUGUUUGGAACUCAAGGUCAUGGCUUCAAAGUUCAAACAAUGGUCAUGUCUUCGCUUCUGCUUCUUCUUCUUCUUCAAAUUGUUUGAACAACAUUAAAGGCAUUCUUAAAUGCCUCGUCUUUUUUUCUUUCCUUUCAAUACGUAGUUCGAUUUGCAGAUCUCAGCAACAUAAUUUUUUAACCUCAUCGCUUCAAAGUUAAAACCAUGAAAAAGAGGAGUUUACAUAUCAUAGCAAGUCUCGUCCUUUGAUGAAUGUAAUCUCUGUUUGACGGCGUUAUUUGUUAAUAUGUCUUCGUUCAAUAUUGCGAACUUCUUUCUGGGAAACAAAGAGCAAAAUUGAAAAUCCAGAGAUUGAUUAUGUGCUCUUUUACUUUCUUAGACCUUAGUUAACUUCUUAAAUUUGAGCUUAGGAACUUCUUAAUGGGCCUUUUUGUAAGCCCAUUGAUAAAGACAAGACCCCCUCAACGUAAUUGUAUUAUUAUCUUCUUAAUUUGCUUUUAAAUUGACAUAAGAAGACUAAUUAUGAAUAAAACUUUUUAAUCCCUAAUUUCAAUUUAACUAGUAAAAUCCAUGUGUUGUCCAGCGGGUUAUCAACCAAGCCAAAGUUCCGGAUCCGGACCCAGUAAGCAAAAUUUACGAUUCUUUUUUUGAAUCCCAAUGCAAAAAAUUUGGAUAUUUUAAAUGCAAUGGAAAAAUCGAGAAAAAUGGUAUCGUGUCGCUUUAAGGACUUAUUUAUGUAUAUGGCCAGAGAGCUCAAACGAAGAUCACCGCCUCGACUGAUUCAUCUUUUCUCUUGGUAUUUUGAUCGGAAAGCUUCAGCCUUUUGGAAAAAUCGUCUCUUGAUUUUUAUUUGAUCCAGAUCAGAAAACGUUUGUUAGCUUGUAGAUUUUCUGGGUUUAUGGUAUUACUAUCACUUUAGCCUAGUACUCCCCAUGUUUCUUCAUUCGAUUUCUUUUUUUUUUGUGUCAAUUUACGCAUAUCUGAUAUCUUCUUCGUGUUGCUCACAAAUUUUGCAGAAGAUUGCAUUGAUUUACAUUCUUGGCAGACUUCUCUUGGUCUAAUAGACUAAUACUAGGCUGAAACCAAACCUGUUGUUGGUUUACGAGGGCACAAUUUAGAGUUAUGCUUCUGUCAGCACUUUUAACUUCAGUGGGAAUCAAUCUUGGCCUCUGUUUUCUCUUCUUCACUUUGUAUUCAAUAUUGAGAAAGCAGCCUAGCAAUGUCACUGUAUACGGUCCACGGCUUGUUAAAGACGGCAAAUCUCAGCAGUCAAAUGAGUUCAACCUCGAGAGGCUUUUGCCUACAGCUGGUUGGGUCAAAAGAGCAUUGGAACCUACCAAUGAUGAAAUCCUCUCCAAUCUUGGCUUAGAUGCUUUGGUCUUCAUUCGUGUCUUUGUCUUCAGGUGAUUGAUUCAUUUAGAAUCUGCUUUAAGUUUGACUUUUUUUUUUGAACGAAUGAUGUGGGACUUCAACGCAUUUUAUUGGCAGUAUACGAGUGUUUAGCUUUGCUUCUGUGGUUGGGAUCUUUAUACUUCUUCCAGUGAAUUAUAUGGGCACCGAGUUUGAGGAGUUUUUCGACCUGCCAAAGAAGUCUAUGGAUAACUUCAGUAUUUCUAAUGUUAACGAUGGAUCAAAUAAGUAAGAAUUCGAAGCUAUGCCUAAACCGUUCUUAUUAUCCUUAACCAGUUUCUUAUGCUUGUAUGUGUUUCGCUUCAGGCUGUGGAUCCACUUUUGCGCAAUAUACAUCUUCACGGCAGUUGUUUGCUCUCUACUUUACUAUGUGAGAAGCCUUCUGUUUUGUCCUUUUAUUCUGCUUCUUUGCGCCUAUAUAAAAUAAUGUUUGGACUAUCUUUGCAGGAGCACAAGUACAUUUUAACAAAGCGGAUUGCUCAUCUUUAUUCAUCCAAGCCUCAGCCACAAGAAUUUACAGUUCUGGUCAGUGGCGUCCCUCUUGUAUCUGGGAACACUAUUAGUGAGACAGUAGAAAACUUUUUCAGGGAAUAUCAUUCUUCCUCGUAUCUUUCUCAUAUAGUUGUUCAUCGGACAGACAAGUUAAAAGUUCUCAUGGUAAGCUUCUACCUACUAAGGAUUCUAUAAGGCCUUACCUUUUUGAUAUUUCUGGAUUUCAUAUAUCUGUUUAUAUUUGUAGAAUGAUGCUGAGAAGCUGUACAAGAAGCUUACACGAGCAAAAUCCGGAAGCAUAUCUCGCCAGAAUUCUAGGCGGGUUGGGUUUUUAGGAAUGUUUGGGAAUAAUGUUGACGAUUACCAAAAGAAGCUUGAGAAGUUAGAAGGUGACAUGAGAUUGAAACAGUCUUUAUUAGCAGGAGAGGUGAGAAUUAGUCUUUGUGUGACUAAUUGCAUUCUUCAACAUAUUUAUUCCUUUUUUUUUGGCAAACCCUUUUAGGAAGUUCCAGCGGCUUUUGUUUCCUUUAGGACAAGACAUGGUGCUGCAAUAGCAACAAACAUUCAGCAAGGAAUAGAUCCAACACAAUGGCUAACUGAGGCAGCCCCGGAGCCUAAAGAUGUUCAUUGGCCAUUUUUCACUGCAUCGUUUGUGAGAAGAUGGAUCUCCAAUGUAGUGGUGCUCGUGGCUUUCGUAGCUCUUUUAAUCCUAUACAUUGUCCCUGUUGUAUUGGUUCAAGGUCUUGCUAAUCUUCACCAGUUAGAGACUUGGUUCCCUUUUCUAAAAGGCAUAUUAAAUAUGUAAGUAAAGCCGUAUUUUGAUAAAGAUGGUUCUUUGUUUCAGUUGAACAACUACAAAAUCUUUUUUUUUUUCUUAUGAAUGCAGGAAAAUCGUGAGUCAAGUGAUUACGGGAUAUCUUCCGAGUCUAAUUUUCCAGCUUUUCCUUCUUAUAGUACCACCCAUUAUGCUUCUACUUUCCUCAAUGCAAGGAUUCAUUUCUCAUAGCCAGAUCGAGAAAUCGGCAUGUAUCAAGCUUCUAAUCUUUACCGUAUGGAACAGUUUCUUUGCAAAUGUACUGUCCGGAUCUGCUCUUUAUCGUGUUAAUGUGUUCCUUGAACCUAAGACUAUUCCUCGUGUGCUUGCUGCAGCUGUGCCAGCACAGGUAAAGAACACAAAAUAUAGUAUUGAGGUUUCCGGAAUUUCUUUUUCUGACCAUGAGUCAUGUUUAAUCAUUGGUGCAGGCAUCGUUCUUUGUAUCUUAUGUUGUGACCUCUGGAUGGACUGGUUUAUCAUCAGAGAUCCUCCGUUUGGCUCCUCUUCUUUGGAGUUUUAUAACAAAACUUUUCGGCAAGGAAGAUGACAAAGAAUUUGAGGUUCCUUCAACUCCUUUCUGUCAAGAAAUCCCAAAGGUUCUAUUUUUUGGACUUCUCGGUAUAACGUACUUCUUCCUUUCGCCAUUGAUACUACCGUUCUUGUUGGUCUACUAUUGUCUUGGAUAUGUCAUCUACCGCAACCAGGUAACCUAACCAAUCUUAAUCUUCAGCUUUUCUAUGUAGAGAGUUUAUAAUAAUUUAAUAUCUAAAAUGAUUUCAAUUGGAUUCUCGUGGAGUCAAUUAUAACUCUGAUAAAGCCAUAUAGGAAUCUGCUCUGUAAUAUAUGAAUCAGCUACACAUAUUUUUGUUAUAUGGAAUCUCACUUUUAUCUUCUCUUUAUGUGUAUUCCCUUUUCUAGAUUCUAGAAUAGCAUCUUUAAAACCGAAAGUAUUGUUUUGGAGCUUAAGUCAUGACAUAAACGUUACAUCAAGAAUCCAUUUUCUCGUCACUUAAUUUGUUUUCUUCUUAAUGAAUUCACUGUAACUUGGUGAUAGUAAUAACUUCACCUUUUUGGUCCUUUUGUGCUGCAGCUCCUAAACGUAUAUGCGGCCAAGUAUGAAACUGGUGGAAAGUUUUGGCCAAUAGUACACAGCUACACUAUCUUCUCUUUGGUACUAAUGCACAUUAUUGCAGUCGGAUUAUUUGGGCUUAAAGAGCUUCCAGUGGCAUCUUCUUUAACAAUUCCCCUUCCGAUUCUGACCGUCCUUUUCAGCAUUUACUGCCAAAGACGGUUUUUACCAAAUUUCAAAUCUUAUCCUACCCAGGUAAAGGCUUUAGAGAAUCAGUUACUCAUAUUAUAACCAUCUUGAUCCAACGGUAGGAAUGUAGCUAGAUACUCUUUUAUCAGAACUAUUCCUAACCAAAACAAAACAAAACAAACAGAAUAUGAUGUAUAGUCCUUAGGAUUUAGCCUGGAUGAAGAACCUUUUGCAGUCUCAAAUAUGAAUCUUAGUAUAAAGUCUAUGCUUCUGUUAUAUUACAGCUUCUUCUCAUAACCUUAAUAUGGUGAUGUAUUGAUGUUUUUCCUUUCGCAGUGUCUAGUAAACAAAGACAAAGCAGACGAGAGAGAGCAAAACAUGUCUGAAUUCUAUUCGGAUCUCGUUGUUGCUUACCGAGAUCCUGCACUUCCGGCAUCACAGAACUCACGAGACAUCUCACCUUAAGAUCCUCCGCUUCUCCAUUCUCGUCAAGCCUGAGAAGAAACCUUUUUACUUGAGCUUUUGAAGUUUGCUUAUGUUGAUUGAAGCUGUUAGCUUUACUAUACCUGGUUCAAUACAUGAAAGAACACACUAAACCGGUUGUCUUGUACAUUGGGUCUUAACCGAGAAUCAACCGGUUUUUGUAUUAUAGUAUAUACUCUUUAGCUUGUGUAAAAAAAAAGGAAAGAGUUUAUGUCAGUGUUUCUCUAAACCGGUUUAAGACGGUACAAACCUUUUGAAAGUUGCCAAAACAAAACGUAAUGAUUUAAAGUAAAUUAUUUAGUAACCACAAGUGUCUUUUAGGCUUUUAGCUAAACAGAGAAUAUUUAGCAAAAAGAUGAAAGAUGAUGACUCGAUGCCACGUCCCUAUAGGGGUAAUUAUUGUAAUUAAGCGUAACUCUGGGGGUAAUUUAGUUAGAGAGUAACCCGUUUAUGGAAACAAAAAUCAAAUAAUUUCUUUUGUUACUUGCGCCUUAUAGGCUACAACAAGCAACGAGAGAGAGAGAAGAAGAAUCUCUGAAUAAUUUCUGGGUUUAAGCUGAUCUCUGGAUUUUCUUCAAUUUCGAAUCUCAAUUUUAAUCUUCUGAUAUUAUUUAGCUCAGAAAUUUUAGGGCUUUUUUUUGUGUGUCUUCUUGCUGCAUUUUUCGGCCUCCGCCUUUUUAAUUAUUGGUAAGUUUCGAUAUCUCUCAAUCUUCUAAUUUCGGAAAUAAAAAAUUCUGGCUUUUUAAUGUUAACUUGGCAAAUCGGGUGUGCUUGAAAUCACCAUUUCUGAAUCGGGUACGAGAGAUCCAUUACUAGUGCGAUUGAAUAUUAUUAGGGUUCUUAUUCCGAAUUGGGGAUAGUUUGAAAAUUGCUAUUUUAAGCUCUCUUCUUAGUGUUGCUUAAUUCUGGUUUUGGAUUGGAUAGAAAAGGGUUUACUCGAUUACCUACUAAAUUUUUGGUUUUUAUUCACUAUCCAGUUCUUAUUCUCGCUAGAUGAGUGAAAUUUAAUCUCCAAUUCUCUUUCUGCAACCGAUCCAUCUCAGUUUGUGUCUUGUGUAGUAGAUCUAAUACAACUCUUUUUUUGGCUUUGGCUCUUUUUUCGGUUUUAUACUUUUGUGUAGAAGAUGGAUGGAUCAGGCGGUAGAAGUGGGGUAGAAUCGAUACUACCAAAUUACAAGCUUGGGAGAACUCUUGGUAUUGGUUCCUUUGGUAGGGUGAAGAUAGCUGAGCAUGCAUUGACAGGACAUAAAGUUGCUAUCAAGAUCCUCAAUCGUCGCAAAAUCAAGAACAUGGAGAUGGAGGAGAAAGGUACAUUUUUGUGUAUCCUCCUUACUUAUCUUGAUUGAAAUUUGUUAUGGUUGUGACUUUACGAUGCUGUGGUAUAUAGUAGCUUAUUUUUCAUCUACCUUUAAUUGAACUUAUUUGGUGUUCGCUUCUGUUGUAUUUGAUGCAGUGAGGAGAGAGAUCAAAAUCUUGAGACUAUUUAUGCAUCCUCACAUCAUCCGUCUCUAUGAGGUUAUAGAGACUCCGACAGAUAUUUAUCUUGUCAUGGAGUAUGUGAACUCUGGUGAGCUAUUUGACUACAUUGUAGAGAAGGGUAGAUUGCAGGAGGAUGAGGCGAGGAACUUCUUUCAGCAGGUAUGUUUUUUUUUUUUAUCAACAGGUAACUUUCCAAGCAACCAUAUUAUUUGAAGUAUAUUUGAGAGCUAAAAAUUAGCUACUUGGCUUUGAUGUAGAUAAUAUCGGGAGUGGAAUACUGCCAUCGAAAUAUGGUGGUUCACAGAGACCUCAAGCCUGAAAAUUUGCUUUUGGACUCUAAAUGCAAUGUAAAGAUUGCUGAUUUUGGCCUGAGCAAUAUAAUGCGAGAUGGUCAUUUUUUGAAGACAAGUUGUGGAAGUCCAAAUUAUGCGGCUCCAGAGGUAAGUGCUUCAGCCUUCAGGUAUCUGAGGAGCACUAUAAGUAGGCUUGUUUCAAAUGAUAAGUUAUAAUCGAGAUCUGUAAAUUGUUUCAGGUAAUUUCGGGCAAAUUAUAUGCUGGACCUGAAGUAGAUGUCUGGAGCUGUGGUGUGAUACUCUACGCUCUUCUCUGUGGGACGCUUCCAUUUGAUGAUGAAAACAUUCCCAACCUUUUUAAGAAGAUUAAGGUACAGCAAACGACGUCCUGUUAAUCGACCUUUUUGUUCUCUUUCGUCUAUGUGAACUAAUUCUUGAAUUUGGUUUUUUUUAUUUCUUAUCACCGCUUGAGUGUAAUUUGUUUUCACUUUUUGUCCUUUAGGGAGGGAUAUAUACAUUACCUAGCCAUUUAUCUGCUGGUGCUAGAGAUUUGAUCCCCCGGAUGCUUGUAGUUGACCCCAUGAAACGAGUAUCCAUCCCUGAGAUCCGGCAACACCCUUGGUUCCAAGCUCACCUUCCGAGGUAUUUAGCUGUUCCUCCUCCAGAUACAGUGCAACAGGCAAAAAAGGUAAACCUUACGUAUCUACUCUAAUUUUCAUUAGAGAUUGUCUCUAUUCCCAUUUUCGAUAAAAGCGGCUUCAUUUGUAGAUUGACGAGGAGAUUCUCCAAGAAGUUAUCAAUAUGGGAUUUGACAGAAACCACCUCAUUGAAUCUCUCCGCAACCGGACCCAGAAUGAUGUAUGUGUUUCCCAGCCUCUUGUUCAUUUGCUGUUUCUUUUAUUUCAAAGGUAAAAAAUUCCAUCGGAAGGUCUUAAAUACUGAAUUGUUACCGACUGUCUUCCAGGGCACUGUGACAUACUAUCUGAUACUGGACAAUCGUUUCCGUGCCUCUAGUGGUUAUCUCGGGGCCGAGUUUCAAGAGACCAUGGUGGGUGUUUAUUGUCCCUUUCGACUGUAGCAAAAAGAUCUUUGAAGUAAUACUUGAAUGUUUAAUUUAAUUAGGAAGGUACUCCCCGUAUGCAUCCAGCAGAAAGUGUCGCUUCACCUGUUAGCCAUCGGCUUCCAGGAUUGAUGGAAUAUCAAGGAGUUGGCUUGAGAUCUCAAUACCCUGUUGAAAGAAAAUGGGCUCUUGGACUUCAGGUUUUGAUAUUUUCUAUACUUAUGCGAUAAAGACUUGAGCUUUUGAUAUAUACCUGACUAGUUUGAUCGAUAAUAUAAUCACGUGAUCCAACAGUCUCGGGCUCAUCCCCGUGAAAUAAUGACGGAAGUCCUGAAAGCCCUGCAAGAUUUGAAUGUGUGUUGGAAGAAGAUAGGGCACUACAACAUGAAGUGCAGAUGGGUUCCUAACAGCACAGAUGGUAUGCUCAGUAACUCGAUGCACGAUAGCAACUACUUUGGAGACGAGUCCAGCAUAAUAGAGAACGAUGCAGCUGUUAAGUCGCCAAAUGUUGUCAAGUUUGAAAUUCAGGUAAAUCCUCUUCUCCACUUCAUGAUAGCACACAUAUCGGUUUCCCGCGUACCACAUUGUUUCUGAUGUGAUUUCGAGUGAAAUAAAGCUUUGUAUUUUAGUGUCCAUGGCCAUAUAGAAACUGACAUAGAACUAGAGUCAAUCUCUUGAAUCUAACUAUCAAUCAAUACUUUCUGGGCUUGAUAAUGUUUGUUGUUGUUGAUGGUGAAACAGUUGUAUAAAACUCGGGACGACAAGUAUCUACUGGAUUUGCAGAGAGUACAAGGUCCUCAGUUCUUGUUCUUGGAUCUCUGUGCUGCUUUUCUUGCUCAGCUCCGAGUCCUCUGAAUACUAAACCGGACCUCUUCAAGAAUAAUCCCCGCUUCUUCUUUCUCUUUUCUUCUUCGUCUAAGAAAUAUUCAGUAAAGUUAGUUUUUUUUUUCUAUUCUUGUGCUAUACUUAAAUAACCUCUUUUUUAACUUAAAUGUAAGACGGGACAACUCGAGUAAAAAAAAAAAGAACAACUUUGUACAUACAUAGCUUGUGGUUCAUUAUGUCACAUAUUGAUUUUCGUUUUUGUUUUGAAACUCCAUAUUGAUUGGAAUCAAUACGUUAAUGGAGAGACUUUUGACAAAAUAAAAAAAACAAUAAACGAAAGAUAUGUAAAUUAGUCCUUGAAAAACAAUCAGUUUAUUAAACAAAUAGCAUUGUGUUUUAUCUUUGUUUUUCUAGUAUUUUUAUUAUCAAUGAAUCUUUAGUUUACCACUAUAAUCUUCGAUGCGUGAGCAGAUUACCCACCCAUCACCAUUGCGGUAUACGUCACUGAGUCAAAGCGUUUUUCCGAAAGUAGUUUAUAGUUUUGUUGGAUUACAAGUACAUUUAGUGUGUUUGCUUAAGAUAUACUUUUCUACAAUAGACAUUAGACAAUGUUAUAGCUUUGAAAUGUGGUCAAGAAAUGUAUUGAAAGUUCAAAUAUUUAUUUUGAAGACCUAUAGAUUUGAUCAUUUGAGAUAGUAAAUCCCCAAAUCUUUACUCAUGAUUGACAAUCCAGCAGCCAAAGCUAUAAGUUUAUGUAUAUUACGAUAUUCUUCAUAGUUUUCAUUUGUGUAAAUCUAUAUUGAAUUAAAAACAUCACCAACUACUUAAUUGAAAAAUAUCCUACAAAAAUAUGCAAUCAAGUAUUUAACUAAAUGUCUAAAUCUAAUUCUCGACUCUUCACUAUGCAUGUAGUUUACACGCUCGGCUGUGUUGAUCUUUAACUAAAAAUUAACUUUCAAAUUUUUGUUUUUGUUAUAAGCAUUCAUAUGUAGGCUUAGGGAUUAUCUUUUGGGUUAAUGAAAAGUUCCCUAUUUAAUUAAUUUAUUUAUGUAUAAUUUCAACUAACUAAUCUUCUCAUUAGGAAAGUUUGAAGAACACAUUUGUUACAUAUCCAAAAAACUAGGGGCUAUACAAAUUCAAAAACAAGCCCAAAAGAAUUUCAAAAGUUUCCAACGUGUGGUUUACCUACCAGUUAAUCUUCUCCUGCAAAAAAAAAGCACAUCAAAGUGUGUGAUAAACUCUCACAAAAAUACAAGGAAAUUUGUAAAAAAAAAUAUAUACAAAAUUAUAUUUUCGUAAACCUGAAAUUGAAUAAUUUCAUACUGACUUGGGCUUUUUUUUUAAUGAAAAAUUAAACAAAUAUGGACUACAAAUCAUGAUGGUAGGUAAAAAAAUGUAUAUAUCCUUGGCUGAAAAUUCUGGUAAUUUAAUUUGUUUUUCCCCAAAUUUUAACCUCUCUCUAUUCGUGGUGGUCUUCGAACACCAACUCUAACAUCACUUUCAGUCCUCCGUAAUAUUUCAUUCAUCCCAUUUGUUUGAAAAAUCUUCGGAUUCGCCCCAAGAUUUGUCAAAUCCUGCAAGAUUUUAUCAUAAUUAAAAUUGAAUUCCAACUACCGGUUUAGAUGGAACCGGGGUUCUAUUUGACUUACCGUAUCUUCUUCUGUUUUCUUGUGAUUCACGCCAGAGAACAACAACACAUCAGAAGAGUCCAGAGAAACGUGCGGCCUAAGAAACGGUUUGUCUUCGUUUAUCGUUAACCCGAAAGUGUUCUUAGCAAAAGCCAUGCUCAUCCCACUCACGUGGCUCGCAGAUCCUGCGGGCUGGUUAUAAGUCAGCGUUGAAGCUACGUCGUUUUCUUUCCUCUUCUUUGUCCCUGCCCAUGCGAACCCGCUCGCUGGUGCCGUGGUUUGAGACAAACUGUUGUACGGAAACUCGCUUCGUGUGGUCGCCUGAGACGUCUCUGACGGCGUCUGGACAGCAAUUUCCGUUUCGGCUUCCUUCUUUGUUUCCUGCAGAAAUAAUGAACAAAAUUACAAAUAUCGAACCGGGAAAUAGACUCAGCGGUUUAUUCCGGUACAUGAAACACCAAAAUACCUGGUGGGUUGGUAAUCUGCUGAGAUUUGUAGGCUCUUUGACUGUUCUACGAGAUUUACCCAAUUUCUUUGUUGCCAAGUUAUCUCUUUUCUUGAUACUAACUCUUCUCCUGCAUAACAAAGUUUCAAUCUCUCAACACAUGCAACCAAGUAUAUUUCUACAGAGCUGGCGAAAACCGAUUGAUUGAUACCUUCUUUGAAGUUCUUCGCGGUAUUUAGCAUCCAUUUCUUUAUUAGGAGGAUACUUAGGUAGUGUCGAUGGAUCGCAAACAUAAGGCUGUGUGUUAAAGUACUGAAGAACAACAACAAACCACAGAGAAGACAAAAGAGUUUCAGCUUAUUUGAUUAGAGUACAUGCUAGGGUUUCGUUUAGUAAGAUUUUUUCACCUCUGACAUAAGAGCAGAAGAAGCAGUUCCUCGUUUCUCAGGAUCAAUAGACAAUAGACUCUCCAAUAGAUUAAUCGCGGUUUUCGGAAACUCAUCAAAUCUUUCUCGCAGACAACCCUCAUAUUGAUGUUGUGGUCUAAACAUCUUAGUUUGAGGAUGAAGUUUGUUCUUUUCCCAGAAUUCUUCAUCUGGUGAUCCAGAGAGUUUAUAAAUCUUGUGAAGUUGUUCAAUCUACAGAGAAUUAACACAAAUAAAACAUUCAGAAAAAGGAGAGCAUUUUCUGUGGAAUGAAUAAUAUAAAUCUAUCAGUUUAGUCCCUUUCUCACCUCUGUUCUUCCUUUAAGAAGUGGUCUUCCGGUAAGAAUCUCCGCGAAAACACAACCAACACUCCAAAGAUCGACUGAUACGCUAUAACUUGUUGAACCCAUUAGAAGUUCUGGUGCACGGUACCAUAAUGUCACAACUCGACUCGUCAACUGAUUCUUGUUUCUUGGUGUUACAAUGUUGGCUAAUCCAAAAUCAGCUAGCUUUAAAACUCCUUUGUUAUUCACCAGAAUGUUUGCGGCUUUAAUGUCUCUGUGCAUAAUCCCUCGUAGAUGACAAUGUUCUACUCCCCACAGCAGUUGCUUCAUGUAGCAUUUGAUCUGAAAACGAAAUUAGGGUUUGUCAGAAUAAAGAAACAGAGUCACUUGCAGGAGAGGUCAGGGUUUUGUGUGUGCGUGUGUCUCUAUUGCCUGUGCCUCGGUGAAUUUGAUGUCGGGAGAUGAACAUAAGCCUUCGAGAUCGUGUUCCAUAUAAUCAAACACAAAGUACAUGCUGUUUGAAUUCCUUGAUGCGAUGAUCCCUUCGAGUUUCAUAAUGUUGGGAUGAUCUAAUCUUCUCAAAAUCAUGAUUUCUCUCGCUAUGAAUCUUAUAUUUUCUGUUUCAAAAUUUUGGACCCGUAUUUUCUUUAAAGCCAUAACUCGUCCCGUCGAUACCUCACAAGCCCGGAACACGUUGCUAUACGUCCCUUGCCCGAUCUAAGAUUUUCAAAGAAAUGUCAAAAUUUAAUUGUUGGGAUCAUAGAUAGGGUUGUUUCUUGUCUCGCAAGAAAAUGUAAUGACCUGUGGUUAGGAUUAUUUUACCUUCUCUCUUUUCUCGAAGUCUUCGGCACGUAGUGGAACCCACCCAUGAACGGCCUCGGGUGCGGCGGAGCUGAGCCAGGAGGGCCAACCAGCCGCCACCUGCUCUGCCUCUACAUUGCUGUGCGGCAAGCCCGAUCUCAGGCUAACACUGGUCGUCCUCGAUCUUGGAGCAUCAUCGUCAUUGUUACGAUGUUUUUUCGGAGAUGAGUUGACGACACGGCGGUGAGAUGGUGGACCGGGAAGAACAUGGCGGUUAUGAUGAUCUUGGGGAUGACUUCGGUGAACGGUGGUGUCCAAGCGACGGCGGAGAGGGCGUGGAGGACCCACCGGAGAAGAAUGCUUGGAGUUGAAGCAACCCAUAAUAAAUUAAUUGUCAGAGGAGAGUUUCCGGGCGGCGUGAGUAUCGACCCGGGUCGGGUAAACGGGUCCAACGCAGGGAGGGCAAUCCCCGCAUUAGACCAUAGAGAAACGAAAAUAAAGGAGAAAAAAAACAAAAAAUUGAAGAAAAAUAGUUUUUGUUGUAAAAUAGAGAAGAGAACCGAAUCGAGAGAGAGAUAAUCACGGACAAUUCGACAAUCCUCCUUAAACGUUGGAAGAGAAAAGAGACAAGAAACCAAAUAUUUUUCUUUUGUAAUUUAAAAUAGAUUUAUCUUAUACACUGACAAAAAACGAAAAUAUUUUACUUAAUUUUGAAGGGAAAAAAACAGCAAUGAAAAAAUAAUCUAUAUGUUACACUGAUUAGAUACAAAAUAAUAAAUUCAUAAUUUAAGAAGAAGAAAAAAAAAACAAAUUUCUUUCUUUAGUCAAAAGCAUGCACUCAAUUCACAUCACACAUGUUAUACAAGUCAUCAAUAUGUAGUAGCCCGGUUCAGAAUCAAUCACCAAGCGGCUAAACCAAUCCUAAAUAAUCAAUCUCGAAAUCUUCGGUUUUAAAGUCAAAUUGUGAUUUUCUCUUCUUUCAACCUCAAAAGAACCGGAGAUUGGCCAGUGUUAUUAUUGUUACCAAAACUCAUAUGUUGUUGCAUAUUGUUCCCCGACAUUGAUCUCAUACGAUGGUGGUCAGACGUCCCCGCCGCAGCUGCGGUACCGUUUCUAGCGGCAGGGACAUCGUGGUUGUGUUUACCUUCGUAAGUUGUAAUCACAGCCUUAGCAUCCGUUGAAGCUCUCUCUACAUGUUUACGGACUGUACAAUUUGGCGUUGUACAUUUAUAAUAGCUCCUAAUAUUACCAAAACAAAACGAGUAUUAAAACAAAAUUAAUGUGAAAUAAUGUAUACAAUAAUCAAAAUUAUUUCUCUAUAGCUAGAUUCAAUAAGCGCAACCCUAAGUAUUAGUACCUCGGAUGGGGAUUUCCUUUGACAACUUUUUGUCCGUACUUGCGCCAUCUAUAGCCAUCAUCGAGAAGAUCGACUUCACUUUUUGUCUGAACGAUAAUCUUAGGCUCAGUCACCGUCCGGUGAGUCGUCGACACACCGUCUAUUUUUCUAUAAUCCCAAUAUUAAAUAUUUAAUUGGAAAUGCCAUGAACAUUAUACUAUGUAUAAUAUAUUAAUCACAUGCACAAUUCUACUAUACCUUAUCUUUGAAGCCGGAAAAUCAUCGUCGUCAUCAUCAUCAUUGUUAUCCUCUUCAUGAUCCUUACCAUAACCACUAUCAUCACUAGAUUCCAUCAUUUGCCCUGCACCACCAACGAAAUGAAUAUCACCAACCUCAGUGGAAUCUCUGCCUCCACCGCCACGGCGAUUCUGAGGCCUCUCGUGAUCAUGUUGACCCUUGUAAAUUAUCUGAGUGAUCUGUCCAUCCGAUGACCGUUCAACUUUCUUCUUAACCGGACAGUUAACAUGUGUACAUUUGUAAUAACUCCUUGGAUAUUCACACCCUUUGAUCGGCUUCUGUCCGUACUUCCUCCAGUUAUAACCGUCAUCCGCCGGUUUAUCAACAUUCACCACGUUAUACGACCGGUUAUUAUUGUUAUUAUUCCCCGGAUUAUUGUAGUGGUUUCUAGCUCUUUGAUCGGCUUGCGUCGACACUUCGAAUGAUUGACGGCCAUGGACGGCGGUGGAUGUAGAUGGCGGCAUAUGAUGAGGAAAUGUGUCUGGUCGUGGUGGACCUGGUGGUUGCUGUUGCGGCUGUGGCUGCGAGUGGACAAAGCCGGUCUGGGCUGGCGCCUGCAGCAUUUAAUAUCAUACGAAUCGAUUUAGUCUAUACUAAUACGAAAAAGGAAAUUUAUAUUAAAAAAAAUGCUGGUUUGAUACUACUAACAAUGUCCAAACAAGGUUGUAGCUAGUGUGGCUGAAAAAAAAAGAAAACAAGGUUGUAGUGUAUUGAUUUAUACUAUUGGUGCCGCAUUUUUCCAAGUAUUAGACGAUUGAGUGUACGAGUUUUAAAAUAGACCAUGAUAUUUUGUUAAGAACUAAGUAAAUGUGAAGUAUGAAUAUAUUUAGUAAUUGGAUCAUAUAUACACAUACAACUCUAGAUUGGUGAAUUUUUUUUUCCCCUUUUCUGUGUUGUUCUAUUGCUAACGACUGUGACUAUCAAUAAACUCUACAAAAAAUUUCUUUAGCAAAAUUCAAUUGGGUUGAGGUUUUUUUUUUGGAACAAUAAUAGGGUUUAGUAAAGCCUUUAUUAAUUAAUCAAGGAUCAUAAAGAAUUAAUAACCUGAGGAGGAAAGAACAUGGGAGAGGUGAGAAGACUAGAAGGGCUGAAACCAGAAGGGAUUGUAAACAUAGGACCUCCUCCGGCGAACAUCCCCGCCGUUGAACGUCCUCCGCCACCAGGAGAAACCGACAUAGCUCCGGCAAGAAGCUGAGAAAACGACGUUGUCCGUUGGUUAUCCGGCGUCAAGACGUCAGGGAAGUUGUCAACGAACAACGACGAGACAAAAGAAAGUGGUCCUGGGCUCAGACUAAGCCCAUCUCCACCGCCAAAGAAAUACGCCGCCGUUUCGAUCGCAGGAGGUCUUUGGGGAACUGUAAUCGUGGGUCUUGUUGGCGCCACUAACGUCGUCGUUCUUAUCGAAGAUACAUCGUCUUCAACCGCCAUUUUCUGAUAUUAAUCUCAACCUUUGUAGAUCUCUCUAGAUAUGGAUAUUACUGUGUGUAUAUAUAUAGAGAGAAACAAAGAGACAAGAGUCUUCUGUUUCAAUGUCUGAUUUUCUUAGAUCGAUUUCGUGCAGCCUUGACAUUUGUGUUCAAAAGUCUACGGGCUAAACAUGGAAUUUCUUUAAUAACAAUAUUAUUACUAAUUUAUUGUGGUCCAAUCUCCCUGUUCCUAAUUUCGCAUUUAAGCUAUUUUUUAUUAGUCUCUUAUGAAAAAUAAUUCAACUUGCAUCUUUUAUUAUUAAAUUAUUUGUUUAACAGGUUGAUGGAAUACCCAAAUUUUUGGUGUUUAACUUGUAAAAGUCACCUUAGAUGCUAUUUGUACAUUAACAUAUAGUAAAUUUUGUGGACCGACAAUAUAUAUUAGGAUGUUAACUAGACUUUUUCAGUUUUUCUUCUUGUAAAGUUGAAGUUAAUUAUAUUUGAGUGAACCAUAUUCAAUACUUUAUUUAUAUUGGCCAUGUUCUUUUCACAAUCGUGCGACUCUCAUCAGCGACCAAUUUUUUAAAACUGAGUUUUUUUUGUUUUUAUUUUAUAUCUUGUAAUUAUGAGUCUUUUUAAAGGCAUAAAUGUAAAUUUAAUAAACUCCUAAUUAAACAAUAUUUUUCUGUUGAAGAAGAUGAUAAAAUUGCAGAGAUCUGUAAACCUCGAUGAUGGAAAUUUGAAACCUAGAGAUAAUCGCUUUUUGAAAUUAAGGGUUGGGUUGUGUCGCCGUUUUUUCCGGCGACUGUAAAAUUUCACGUCGUAGCGACAGAAAAUAUAAGAGACGAAGAAGAGAUGAAAAAAACUUAAAAGAUAAUUGAGGUGACAAAUCAGUCGCACAGUGGGAAUCGCACGCUCUUGAAAAGAACAGGGCCAAUCAAAUUCAGAAAAUUCAAGUUGAUGUCACGAGUGACGAGUCUUAUAAUCCAUGUUAAUCUCUCACACAUAUAAUACAACGAUAAUCAUCAGAAGAUACAAAUCUAGAUCAUAGUGAAAUACAAUAAUAUAGUUGCCGCACGACUUUAGUCAUCGAUACUGUAUGUUACACCGUUCGAAUCAUUAUGAGUAUUUUCCCUGUGACUAAACUGAAAUUUUGAAGCUGAAAAUUGUCAAAAGACUCAAAAUCGAAAUAUACUAGUAUAUCUGAUUAUACAGAUCUAAUCUCUGUGAUAUUAAAUGUCACAAUGAAUAAUAACGUAAUUCUGGUAAUAUUCGGGCAACGAUUUGCGUUUCAUUAAAUUAUGUUUUUCGGGUUUGCUGAAACAAAACAUAACUAGUACCUGCGUUGCAUGUUCUUCAGAAUGUUGAGAGAAUUAAAGGAAUCAACUUAAACUAAUUAACUGACAUUUGUUUUUGCAAUUAGUAUUUCUAUUUGAUUGUUUUUUGACACCUAAGGGACAGCCUAUUGAUACCUUAUUAAUAACGGAAAUUAUCAGUUCCAUUUUCUUAAAUCAUAUUCCCAUAUAUUUAUAAUUAAAUUUAUAAUUUGAUCGACAAUCAGAAUUUUGAUUUUAGUUUCACCCAAUAUGAAGUUAUUAUUGACGCAGCAGAAAAGGAAGCAAUCAAGUAUAUUGAAACUUUUUCCUGAAACUAAAUAAAAACAUUAACAAAGGUUUGACAUUUCUUGAUAUACCGUAUAUAUUACGGUAUCCAAAUGACUAAGACGUUUAGUUAAACUCAAGACGAGAAGGGUCAAGAAGAAUUGUAACCUGGUUUUAGAUAAUUUUAACAUAAAGAAAUUGAAAUCUAUGUUUGCAAGAAAAUAGUCAAAUUUAGAAAUAUAUCCUAAAACUGGGGUUAGAUCAUUUUAAUAUCUUAAACAUUUUGGUGUAUGAAGAAACAUGGGGAAACAAAAAUCUUAUGACUAAAAAAACCUUCAAGAGCUGUUUAUUUUGUCGGGACGUGUGGUUGACUUUUGGAUAAGGGUCAAGCUAUUAUCUAAUUAAUUUAGGCCCUUUACAUAGUCGAAAAUCUGAAAAGUACCACACGAACAAUCAUUUAAAAUUGAAAGUGAAUUCUUUUAUGGGUUUGAACUAUAAAAUUAAACAUCUUCAAAUGCUCAAAUCUCGUAGUCAGAUUAGUUUACAAUCACGUCAUUUUCGAUGUGAUGAACAAAUGAUACAAUUUAAACUGCCAGCUUUAGUCAAUAAACUAAAAUAGUCUAGCUAGCUGGUUAUUUUUAAUUGUUUUCUGGCUAUCUACGAAAUUUUUAAUUUAAUCCAUAAAAAAAAUCUAGGGUUUUGAUAGGUUUAGGUGUCUAAUCAUGGUGCCCACAGCUGUUUGAGAGAUGACUAUAUUAAACCCUAAUCAGGGUUAAAUGUAAUAUAUUAGUUUUGCAUAGUAGACUACUAGUAUUAGUGUAUUACUAACAGUUUGGAAGGAAAGAUGACAAAAAAAAAAAAAAACUGUUUGGAAGAAAGUACAUAUUAAGAGCCACAAAUAUUAUUUCUUCAAAAUAUAUAGGUGCACAACAAAAAGGGGAUGUUCUUCAAAAUCAACGUAAGAGACUUGAAUCAUGAUUUCAACAAUAUGUCUUAUGGAUUUGCAAUAUAUAUUGUCGAAAUCUAGACCAAAAUUUCUUAUCAUCAACAAAAUUAGUUACUCGCAAAAUAUUCAACACAUAUAAUCCUUUUUUUUUGGGUCAACUUAAACACAUACAUAAAGACGAAGGAAAAGGAUCAAAUAAGUAAAGAAGUAAGAAUACUAGUUUUUGGUGUUUCAUAUAGAAAGACCUUUGGUUUAUCCACAACUGAUUAUUUUUACCCAUUACACCAUCAAACGAAUGUGUACAUAGAUCGCAGAGAUAGUGUGGCCAUCCUUACGCAAAUAAAACUCGAAUUAAAAAUAAAUAAGAAAAUUAGCCAAGAAAAAUAAAUAAAACAAGUUGAGCAAAAAGGCGACUUGAAGAUGGAGAAAAGGGUGGUCGUUGAGAGGACACUAAAAGGAUAAACGUGUUCCCAAACAUCCUUUUGUCUUUGAUGUCAUGUGGCAAUGCGACCAACUUGCAACUUAUUAUAUCACCUACAUGACAAAAACUUCAAUUAUUGGAACAUUUUAGUUACUUUCUCAUUUCUCUUACAUUCGUAUAUUAUCUAAAGACCAUUCUCUGAUAAGUAUCGGUGUAUAUAUACCAUUUUCAUAAAAAUUUAACCAAGGUACUUUAAUUAAUUUGGAUUCGAAUCUAGCGGAAAUAAAACUACCACUUUCCAACUGAUUAGAAAUUUAGAAAACAAUCAGUUUAUUAUAGGUUCAUCAGCUGUUUGGGUUUGUCGAUAACGAAAUCUAGAUAUUUUUUUGAAUUUAGUUUGUGUAGAAGUGAGCAAUUUUUUUUUUUUUUUUUUACAGCAAAUUAAGCUAAUUCUUAUAUGUACGUGUGGAAUCUCAACAACUGAUAGAUCAAGUGUUAUAAAGAAAAUAUUUAUAUGAACGUGGAAAUAUGAUCAACUGAUAAAACAAGUGAAAUGUUCUAACAUUUCGUUUUCACUUUUCACACGUUUAUUUCAUAAAAAUGUCUAACCAUACCAAAAAUGUGUGGUUCAAGCAACUAGUGUUAAAUGAUCUUUCGGAUAAAUUUUGUACUAGUUAAUUAAGUGAAACAUCAGAUACUGUACAUAUAUUGUCGGUACCAUUGGCCAAAUUCAUCUGUAUUUGCAUUUAUUGAUUCUUGAAAUAAAUAUACAUAUUUUGUCAUCAAUCAAACAUACAUAUAUUAUAUCAUCUACAUGAACGUGUUGCAUAAUAGUGACAACUACCAAUUAUGGGUCCACAUUGAAAAAGGAUCUCUAACAUACAAAUCGAAGCCCAAUACGUAGGCCCAAUAAAGUUUUAAAAGAUUGUUCAAACAAUUAAAUUACAAUUUUUUAUUCAACAAUUGAUUUUUCCCUCCAACAAAAGCAAAAGCAUGAACAAUCUCCAAAGACACACACACACCCCAGAGUAGAAUGACUAAAAGGAUCCUACCAAAAAAAAAGAAUGACUAAAAGGAUCCAAGAAAGAACAAUACAUAAAAGAGUACUACUAAAACUAUAAUAGAGCUUCACUUUGCAAAGAUAUAAAUCGUUUCUCUUUAAAAGAAAUCAAGACAUAUUACCACAUCCUUAGUACCGCGUCCCCCAUUGUCCCAACCGCUGCGAAAACAGCUACCGGAAUAACAAACUGACUUGCAAAACCCGAGAGGGUAAAGGUUCUUGUUGCACUGUUCUUGAUAGGUGCUGCAGCUGGUGGAGGAGGCGGUUUCUCAACUAAAACAGCGAGCUUCAUACCGCCGUAACAUCCACCACCAUUACCACUAAUCAGAUAGUAAUGCCUUGUCACAUUAAGAUGAACCAAGUCCCUUCCAGCUCCACGACUCCAAUUAGCGAUCGGGUUAUUGGGAUUGCAGCUUAUGUAGUUGGUUUCGUUCACUUCUAUGACGUUGUAUUGGUUUCUCUCAUACACAAAAUCUGACGAGACAACAUGAGAAUUAAACACUAUACUAUAAGUCAACAAGGUUCAUGAUUCGAGUAUCUUACUGAAAAUACAAUCUUCAAACUAUUUAACAAUUUUCAAUGCUUUGAAAGAAGCAAUUUUAAUAAGAAAACAGAGUGUUGCACCAAAAAAAAAAAAGAAAAGAAAACAGAGCUAGUGAAGAAUCAAUCUAGUGGUCCUUUUUAAGACAGUCUCUGAUUGUGUCCGACAUAAUCUGGACUACACAAAGUUCUAAAAUUUCGAACGUAAGCGAAACCAUUCAUUUGCCAACAGAUCUAAAACAUCUAUCGUUAUAAAUCCGAGAGCCUUGUGAUAAGAGUAUCAGUGUAAAGAGAAAGAGUUAGAGAGAGCGUACAGAGCCAAUCGUCGAGGUAGAAAUGUUUGUCCUGAGCCCAAAUGGUAUAGUUGAUAUUAGGAUUCCAGAACUUGUUAUCGCCCACCGUCCACUUCUUCGCAGCCACCUCCGUCGCCGUCAGAAAAGCAAGCACCGCCGCCGCAACCAAAACCGCAAGUCUCGCCAUCGAUCAGUACUCUAGAAAAAGGAUGAGUCGUCGUCUUUUUCUGACUCUUUCUCUUCUGGCUCUAGAAAUAGCCGAUAUUGAUGGGUUUAUCGAAGUUAAAUCUGAGAGAUAAAAAUGUCUCUUUUUCAGGGAAAAGAUCUCUCUAGAUCCGUAAUUCCUUCGACUAACCUUCGAAUUUUUAUCUUUAAUUAAACCUCGAGGUUGACGAAAAGUGCAAGGUAAGCGUUAUGUAAUUAAGGCAAUUUCGUCUGUAAUAUUUUCUUUUUUAUUUUGGUCAUAUUUUCUUACCUUUUUUCCGGAAAUUAAUUUCCUUUUUUAGUCAUCCAGUUGGUCUUAAUUGCUUAAUUAUAAAGUCAGGAUUUAUUUCCUUAAAGAACAUAUUGAAAUACAAUGAAUUUAAAAGUGACAACGAUUCUUUUACUUUCAAUAGAAAUUGUGUUUAUUUGAUACAUUUUAAAGUUGUAACUAUAUUAUUAGCUCUUUAUAUUGUUGUAGCCGUUGGGGAAUUUCACAUUUUGAAUGCCUCGUCACAUAUGACAAGUAGCUUUUCAUGAUCUAUUAUUAUAAUCCAUCAUAGCUUCCACGCGCAAGCUUGAUUGUAACCACCGCCACAAAACUGGUAGAAUCCACAUAAAUCAGUAAUUUUGUUAAAAACAUAUCAAUUUUUUUUUUUAGAGAAAGUUCUCUAAUCUUCUACCGUUUCUUUUUAAUUUGGCCAAGAAUCUUUCUUAACUUGUUUUUUUCCCAUAUUAUUUUGACUUUUUCAAAAAUGAUAUAUACGGAGUUAACAUUUUGUGUCCACACAAUAUAUGUUGUAAUAUCCACGUAGGAUGAAGUAUCCUUUUAAACCCAUCCACGUGUCCAAACAUCAGCUUCUAAUUCCAUUGUACAAUAAAAAAAAAACCUUACCUGAAAAAAAAAAAAAAAUCGAACUCAACUGAGAAGCGAAGAAGAAAAUGGCGGCAGCGGCCAUGGCCCUUCAUCUCCCGAAACAUUCUUUGUUUCUUCCAAAACCCAAACUUCCAUUGGAUAAAAACCACAACUUUCUCGGUGGUUCAUUGAAUUUAGGUCGACCCAUGUCCUUAAACCGGGAAAUUAACAGUCCGAUGAUGGUCUCCGCUUCUUCGACGAGCAAGACCGUCGUUACUGAUGACGUAGACGCUGAUCGAAGUAAACGGUUUUAUAUAAACUUCACUGGCUUUCCUUUUCCUCUUGGUCCUUUCCUUAACCGGCGCACCAUCAGAACCGAGGUUAGCUUUUCUCCAAAUUUUUCAUAAGGGUUUGUUAAUUUGUCAUCUCUAAUUUCAGAAUCACAAGUUUAUGAAAAUCCUUCUCGAUUUUCAGAAAAUCUUGAAACUUGUUUGUUUGCAGGCGGUUAAAGGUUGCAUAUGGAUGUUUGAACAAGAACAAGCUUUAGGAUUUAGCAGUGUCUCCACGAAUAUACGAAUGACUAUCAUCAAACUAAAAUCUGGAGGUUUAUGGGUUCAUGCUCCUAUUGCUCCUACCAAAGAGUGUAUUCAGGUUCCCAUUUUUACCCCACCAAAUUGGAUUUUGUUCUUUAUGAUUACUAACUACCUCCAGAUUGAUAUAUCAUACUUUGUUGUCAUUUCUCUACUUGCAUUGAUAUUUGACCUCUUGGGGUUUGAUAAAGUUGUUGUAUUUGAUAAAAAGAGAAAGCCUUUUUGGUUGAGCUUGCAGAUGAUUGAACUCUAUUUGUUGUUUUGCUCUUUUAUUGUGGCAGCUUAUUAAGGAGUUGGAAGCUCCAGUUGAGUACAUUGUCCUUCCAACAUUUGCUUAUGAGCACAAGAUUUUUGUCGGUCCUUUUUCUAGAAAGUUCCCUAAGGCUCAAGUAUGGGUUGCACCAAGACAAUGGAGCUGGCCAUUGAACUUACCACUCGAGUUUUUUGGUAUAUUUCGUGCUAAAAUCAUUAAAGACGGGGACUUAUCUACGCCAUGGGCUGAAGAGAUUGAACAGAAAGUCCUAAGCUCCCCAGAAGUUGGUAUGUUCCUUAAGUAUUUCGAUCUGGUUUGGUUGAAAGAUUCGAAAAUCAUAUUUUCUUAUGGGGUAUCCAGGAAUUGGACCGUAUGUCGAAGUAGCGUUCUACCAUAAGCGUUCAAGAACCCUUUUAGUCACCGAUGCUGUGAUCUUCGUCCCGCGGAAACCGCCCUCGAGUAUCAGCAACGAAUCCUUGCUGGCCUCGGCUAAGAAUGGACUAGCUGUGAAGAUACUUAGCAAAGGAAAAGACGUACCCAAUGAUCCAGUGGUUGAUAAUCCGAACACCCGCCAAAAAGGUCAGUAGUUCUUAAAAAUCAAAUUCCCCUGUUAUUUGAUCAAUCAGAAGAAGAUCUUAGAUCUCAGUGGCCUCUGUUUUAAAACUUGCAGGGUGGGAAAGAAUGGUUCUACAAAUCCUAUUUCUUGGUCCCUCGAAUCUCUUGGAACCAAAUGCAAGCUUCGCACGAAUGUCACAGAAGCUGAUCGUUUCUCCCAUCGUAAAGACUUUGGUCUUUAGCAAAGUUCCUGAGAAGGUUCCCUAUUUCUGCAUCAUCUGUUUAAAUCUUUGUUUUGGUUCCAAAAGGGUUUGUUUUGAUUUGAUCAUCACUGAUGAUUCAGGUGAGGGAUUGGAUCGAUGAGAUAGCCCGGGACUGGAGAUUUAAAAGGAUAAUCCCAGCUCAUUUCGAAGCUCCAAUAAACGCAGGAAGAUCAGAGUUUCUAGCUGCGUUUGGGUUCCUAGAGGAUCUUCUAGGGGAAAGAUAUGUAACUCGUCCUUCGCUCUCUCUUCUUUUCACUUCGCUAAUGGGAAAAGCUGCGAGCUAUUUUCCUCCAGACGAUAUGAGAACUCUCUCUUCUCUUGAUCAGUUCUUAGUCUCUGUUGGGGCUGUGAAAAAGACAGUAUCCGGUAGAAAACGAAGAUGAUGGCAAAACAGAAAAAAAAAGAUUCAGCCUUGUGAUGAAAGAUAUAUAUAGUCAGAAACAAGUAAAAGCUUCCAUGUUUUGUUUACUAAAGUUUUCUUUGGGUAAGCAUUGUAUACUAAGGUUUUGCAGACAUUGCCUCCAACUAGAGGCGAUCCAUUGCAUUGAUGAUUUAACCAAGUCUAUUGCGGUGUUUGAAGACCAGGCUUACAAGACUUUACUCAAACCAAGUCUAAUCAAACUACAACUAACCACCAUUUAUUAACCGGUAUAUAAGAAUUGAGCUGAAUCACUCAACGCCAAACAAAUAACGUGCAGCUGAAUCCAACAAUUUCUUCUUGCUCCUUAGCUCAAAUCGACCUCGAAUUUUCCGUAACCAGCUGAUAACCGGUUUAGUUAAGAACUAAACCAAGUGUGAUAACCAGAUAGAGGAUAUCAGAACCAAUUUCAACAAGAGUUUUUAUAUUUGACGUCUUCAUUUUAGAUAAUUACAACAACAAGAAGAAAAAAAAUCAUCUCAUCUAUAUAGCGCUUAGGGUUUCAUUAUCGAGAUCUGAUAUUUGUUUUAGCAAUGGGACCGAGGAAAAAAAAAGCAAAUCGCCGGAGACAAGAGGAAGAAGAAGCAAACUGGUCGGCGCUAUGUCCGGACUUGCUGCGAUGUGUUUUCAAACGAUUGAGUUUCACAGCUCUUAAUCGAGCUAAAUCGGUAUGUUCUACGUGGCACUCUGCUUCCAGAGGCUGCGUCCCUAACCAAAAUCAGAUUCCAUGGCUGAUUCUCUUCCCUCACGAGGAGGAAUCCAACAAAAACAGUAGUAGUUGUGUGUUGUUCGUUCCGGAGGAUCAAGACAAAGUUUACACAAGUAAAGAUCUUGGUGUUGACUUUUCCCAGAGUCGUUGUCUGACGACUUGUGGUAGCUGGCUCUUGUUGUUGAAUCGUCGUCGGGAUCUCUACAUUCUCAACCCUUUAACUGGCGAGAGGAUUGAUCUAUCCAAUAACCAACAUUUACCAAGUGACUUAAGAUGCGACCAAGUUUGCUUUCGGAUAGACAACAAAACCAAAGAUUACCUAGUUGUAAUGUUGCAGUACUGUAGUGUGUUUACCAAGAAAGGAUAUAAGAAGUGGCACGACUUUCCCCACUUGGAUUGUUAUGGAGAUUUUGCCUACAAUCAAAAGGAUCAAAAGCUCUACGUUCAUUAUCCCAAUGAUAUUGUCAAUAUUUGGGAUUUAUCAGGAGAUAAUCCACACAAAGAUAGGUCUCUGUCUCUUGAUCCUUUUUAUAUCAAUCAUUAUGAUUUCCCCUCUUUUCUUAAUGAUAACGAAGAUGAACUUUACUGGGACAAGUUACGUGGCUUCGCGACACGCACUGCAGUCACAGUAUCCGGACAUGUUUUGAUGGUGUCAAGUAUAGUACAAGACUGCAAAACAUGGUAUUUUCGCAUCUACAAGACAAACUUGUAUGGCAACUGGGUGAAAGUCAAAUCUUUGGGCAAUGAAGCAUUGAUCUAUGAUAUGGGUAUCACUGUUGUCGCCAAUGGCAUCCCAGGGAUCAAAAGGAACUCUAUCUACUUCAGUGGCGUCGAUCAUGGCAGAGAUGAUCCACAUCACAUAUUUGUCUACGAUCUCACCACCCAAAAGAUGGAACCUUUGCCACAAUGCGCCUUCUCUACCAUACGAUUCUCUGAUGCUCGUUGGUUCUUCCCGUGCUAGUCGUCUACCUGCGCAACUUCAGGACAUAUCGCCUCUGUUCCUUUUAAUGUUUUAAGCUCGAUUUGCUUUAGACUUGUUUUAUUCGUUUGUUUUUUUUUGCUUUCAGUUCUAAAUCUUGAUGAUACAUUAUCAUUUUAUUCAUCUGUUGUUGAGAGUUUAGUCUCUUUGACGAUAAAAAGGGGUUUCAAGUCCAUUUUGUUCCCAAAGCAGAGGAACUACGAAACAGAGCUAAAAUGUCUUAAGAGGAACUGACUCAUUUACUACACCUUGAUGUAUUAUCUCCUUCAUUCUUGCAACAAGGAACAAGCUAUAGAAGAGCUUUGAUUUAAACCUUUUUAUAAAAAAAAAAU
This 31801-nucleotide long non-coding RNA is filed under the name Arabidopsis lyrata. RNAcentral describes it as "long non-coding RNA (ALYR_LNC002212)". Lineage: Eukaryota; Viridiplantae; Streptophyta; Magnoliopsida; Brassicales; Brassicaceae. The record is from RNAcentral.